GGGGAAUAUUGGACAAUGGGGGAAACCCUGAUCCAGCGACGCCGCGUGGGUGAAGAAGGCCUGCGGGUUGUAAAGCCCUUUCGGUAGGGACGAAAGCUCUCGACCUAACACGUCGGGAGGUUGACUUAACCUACAAAAGAAGCACCGGCUAACUCUGUGCCAGCAGCCGCGGUAAUACAGAGGGUGCGAGCGUUAAUCGGAAUUACUGGGCGUAAAGCGCACGUAGGCGGCUUGGUAUGUCGGGUGUGAAAUCCCCGGGCUCAACCUGGGAACUGCAUCCGAAACUGCCUUGCUCGAGUAUGGGAGAGGGAAGUGGAAUUUCCGGUGUAGCGGUGAAAUGCGUAGAUAUCGGAAGGAACAUCAGUGGCGAAGGCGACUUCCUGGACCAAUACUGACGCUCAGGUGCGAAAGCGUGGGGAGCAAAC
This 425-nucleotide ribosomal RNA is filed under the name uncultured bacterium. Its description in RNAcentral is "bacterial SSU rRNA". It matches the Rfam family "Bacterial small subunit ribosomal RNA", at positions 356 to 773 of the family's 1533-position model. The record is from RNAcentral.